CAGCCGUAAACUAUGCGCGUUAGGUGUAUCGGUGACCACGAGUUACCGAGGUGCCGAAGGGAAACCGUGAAACGUGCCGCCUGGGAAGUACGGUCGCAAGGCUGAAACUUAAAGGAAUUGGCGGGGGAGCACAACAACGGGUGGAGCCUGCGGUUUAAUUGGACUCAACGCCGGACAACUCACCGGGACGACAGCAAUAUGUAGGCCAGGCUGAAGACCUUGCCUGAAUCGCUGAGAGGAGGUGCAUGGCGUAGUCGUGU
This 260-nucleotide ribosomal RNA is filed under the name uncultured archaeon. Its description in RNAcentral is "partial 16S ribosomal RNA". It matches the Rfam family "Archaeal small subunit ribosomal RNA", at positions 748 to 1009 of the family's 1478-position model. The record is from RNAcentral.